AAGCCAGACUCCUACGGGAGGCAGCAGUGGGGGAUAUUGCACAAUGGGGGGGACCCUGAUGCAGCGACGCCGCGUGGGUGAAGAAGCGCCUCGGCGCGUAAAGCCCUGUCAGCAGGGAAGAAAAUGACGGUACCUGAAGAAGAAGCCCCGGCUAGCUACGUGCCAGCAGCCGCGGUAAUACGUAGGGGGCAAGCGUUAUCCGGAUUUACUGGGUGUAAAGGGGGCGCAGACGGCGAUGCAAGCCAGGAGUGAAAGCCCGGGGCCCAACCCCGGGACUGCUCUUGGAACUGCGUGGCUGGAGUGCAGGAGGGGCAGGCGGAAUUCCUGGUGUAGCGGUGAAAUGCGUAGAUAUCAGGAGGAACACCGGUGGCGAAGGCGGCCUGCUGGACUGCAACUGACGUUGAGGCCCGAAAGCGUGGGGAGCAAACAGGAUUAGAUACCCGAGUAAC
Molecule: ribosomal RNA, 449 nt
Filed under: uncultured bacterium
Lineage: Bacteria
Description: bacterial SSU rRNA
Rfam family: Bacterial small subunit ribosomal RNA
Source: RNAcentral